GACGAACGCUGGCGGCGUGCUUAACACAUGCAAGUCGAACGGAAAGGCCCUGCUUUUGUGGGGUGCUCGAGUGGCGAACGGGUGAGUAACACGUGAGUAACCUGCCCUUGACUUUGGGAUAACUUCAGGAAACUGGGGCUAAUACCGGAUAGGAGCUCCUGCUGCAUGGUGGGGGUUGGAAAGUUUCGGCGGUUGGGGAUGGACUCGCGGCUUAUCAGCUUGUUGGUGGGGUAGUGGCUUACCAAGGCUUUGACGGGUAGCCGGCCUGAGAGGGUGACCGGCCACAAUGGGACUGAGAUACGGGCCAGACUCCUACGGGAGGCAAGAGUGGGGAAUAUUGCACAAUGGGCGGAAGCCUGAUGCAGCAACGCCGCGUGCGGGAUGACGGCCUUCGGGUUGUAAACCGCUUUCGCCUGUGACGAAGCGUGAGUGACGGUAAUGGGUAAAGAAGCACCGGCUAACUACGUG
Molecule: ribosomal RNA, 468 nt
Filed under: uncultured bacterium
Lineage: Bacteria
Description: partial 16S ribosomal RNA
Rfam family: Bacterial small subunit ribosomal RNA
Source: RNAcentral